GCAGAACAGCAGGCUACAGAAGAAGAUGUGUUGUCAAGCAUGAUCCAGAAAGAUGAUAUAACAGGGAUGAAGAAAAAAAAUCAAAUUCCUCUGUCUUUUUGCUGUGAUCACCCAACUUCAGAACCUACUUCUACACCAAAAGGAUAUGAAGUUAAGCCUUGGAUGAAUAAUGAUGCCUAUUUGAAAUGGAAUUGUCUUUUUUUCUGACCACUUUCUAGAUGUGACCAUGUCUCUAUGUGAGUAAAAGCAAAAGAAUCUCCAUUACACAAUUGAAAC
RNAcentral lists this long non-coding RNA (276 nucleotides) under Zonotrichia albicollis (white-throated sparrow). RNAcentral's name for it is "lncRNA (ENSZALG00000006980.1)". Lineage: Eukaryota; Metazoa; Chordata; Aves; Passeriformes; Passerellidae. The record is from RNAcentral.